CCUGAAUACCCGGCUGGGCACACGCGAGGCCGAAAUCGUGGUUUCUGGGUGUCGGGUGGUCCUGGGGUUCGGCAGGAUUCCGGAGAACGACUGUCACCAAGUCGUGUACUUGUCGCACGCGGACUGGACAUAUGCCAGCGGAAGACUUGAGCUCUGAGCACAAAAUCGGUGGGGCUGGGGAUGUUCUCGAUCUUGGUCCCCAGGAUCUGAUUGAAGACCCCUGACUUAGCGUAAGUAUGGAACCGAAGGGGCCGAGCUGCUCUGGGGGCUGGAGGCCGGCGUCCUGGCUUGGGCCUGAGGGCUUCUCCAUCCCUUGCCCUCAAUGCUCU
This 329-nucleotide long non-coding RNA is filed under the name Marmota monax (woodchuck). The record is from RNAcentral. Lineage: Eukaryota; Metazoa; Chordata; Mammalia; Rodentia; Sciuridae.